CGAAAGUGUAUUUAUAGUGAUGUGUGGUGUGGGGAGGAUGAGUGUGUAGAGGACACCAAGCUAGGAAACAUAAACAUUCGGUCUCCUUCAUGAUGACCUUCCCUGGAAGGGUCUGAGCACAUCCGUCUCAUCCCUUUCGUUCCCUAUUUACUGGGAAGAAAUAUUCAGCCACAUAGAAAGACACUAUUCACCUUCCUGAGUAUCUUAGUUCACUGUUACCCUUACAGAAGAAAAACAAGGAUUAAGAAACUACUCAAUGCUGUGCACCUUUCUGCAGCUCCACUCCUGGAGGAAAAUGGGC
Molecule: long non-coding RNA, 301 nt
Filed under: Homo sapiens (human)
Lineage: Eukaryota; Metazoa; Chordata; Mammalia; Primates; Hominidae
Description: HSALNT0096654
Source: RNAcentral